ACGCUUCUUUUUCCACCGGAGCUUGCUCCACCGGAAAAAGAGGAGUGGCGAACGGGUGAGUAACACGUGGGUAACCUGCCCAUCAGAAGGGGAUAACACUUGGAAACAGGUGCUAAUACCGUAUAACAAUCGAAACCGCAUGGUUUUGAUUUGAAAGGCGCUUUCGGGUGUCGCUGAUGGAUGGACCCGCGGUGCAUUAGCUAGUUGGUGAGGUAACGGCUCACCAAGGCCACGAUGCAUAGCCGACCUGAGAGGGUGAUCGGCCACAUUGGGACUGAGACACGGCCCAAACUCCUACGGGAGGCAGCAGUAGGGAAUCUUCGGCAAUGGACGAAAGUCUGACCGAGCAACGCCGCGUGAGUGAAGAAGGUUUUCGGAUCGUAAAACUCUGUUGUUAGAGAAGAACAAGGAUGAGAGUAACUGUUCAUCCCUUGACGGUAUCUAACCAGAAAGCCACGGCUAACUACGUGCCAGCAGCCGCGGUAAUACGUAGGUGGCAAGCGUUGUCCGGAUUUAUUGGGCGUAAAGCGAGCGCAGGCGGUUUCUUAAGUCUGAUGUGAAAGCCCCCGGCUCAACCGGGGAGGGUCAUUGGAAACUGGGAGACUUGAGUGCAGAAGAGGAGAGUGGAAUUCCAUGUGUAGCGGUGAAAUGCGUAGAUAUAUGGAGGAACACCAGUGGCGAAGGCGGCUCUCUGGUCUGUAACUGACGCUGAGGCUCGAAAGCGUGGGGAGCAAACAGGAUUAGAUACCCUGGUAGUCCACGCCGUAAACGAUGAGUGCUAAGUGUUGGAGGGUUUCCGCCCUUCAGUGCUGCAGCUAACGCAUUAAGCACUCCGCCUGGGGAGUACGACCGCAAGGUUGAAACUCAAAGGAAUUGACGGGGGCCCGCACAAGCGGUGGAGCAUGGUGGUUUAAUUCGAAGCAACGCGGAGAACCUUACCAGGUCUUGACAUCCUUUGACCACUCUAGAGAUAGAGCUUUCCCCUUCGGGGGCAAAGUGACAG
This 1003-nucleotide ribosomal RNA is filed under the name Enterococcus hirae. RNAcentral describes it as "bacterial SSU rRNA". It matches the Rfam family "Bacterial small subunit ribosomal RNA", at positions 66 to 1037 of the family's 1533-position model. The record is from RNAcentral. Lineage: Bacteria; Bacillati; Bacillota; Bacilli; Lactobacillales; Enterococcaceae.